CAAAAUAUAGUUUAUAAAAAUAUUAAUUUUGGAGAUUAAAGAUAUAGUAAUUAUUAUUUUGA
Molecule: transfer RNA, 62 nt
Filed under: Mengenilla moldrzyki
Lineage: Eukaryota; Metazoa; Arthropoda; Insecta; Strepsiptera; Mengenillidae
Description: tRNA-Pro
Source: RNAcentral